UGGGGAAUAUUGCACAAUGGGCGCAAGCCUGAUGCAGCCAUGCCGCGUGUGUGAAGAAGGCCUUCGGGUUGUAAAGCACUUUCGGCGAGGAGGAAGGUGGUGAACUUAAUACGUUCAUCAAUUGACGUUACUCGCAGAAGAAGCACCGGCUAACUCCGUGCCAGCAGCCGCGGUAAUACGGAGGGUGCAAGCGUUAAUCGGAAUUACUGGGCGUAAAGCGCACGCAGGCGGUUUGUUAAGUCAGAUGUGAAAUCCCCGGGCUCAACCUGGGAACUGCAUUUGAAACUGGCAAGCUAGAGUCUCGUAGAGGGGGGUAGAAUUCCAGGUGUAGCGGUGAAAUGCGUAGAGAUCUGGAGGAAUACCGGUGGCGAAGGCGGCCCCCCUGGACGAAGACUGACGCUCAGGUGCGAAAGGCGUGGGGAGCAAACAGAUUAGAUACCCUGGUAGUCCACGCUGUAAAACGAUGUCGA
This 470-nucleotide ribosomal RNA is filed under the name uncultured bacterium. RNAcentral describes it as "partial 16S ribosomal RNA". It matches the Rfam family "Bacterial small subunit ribosomal RNA", at positions 355 to 815 of the family's 1533-position model. The record is from RNAcentral.